Molecule: ribosomal RNA, 2900 nt
Filed under: Halothiobacillus sp. 35-54-62
Lineage: Bacteria; Pseudomonadati; Pseudomonadota; Gammaproteobacteria; Chromatiales; Halothiobacillaceae
Description: bacterial LSU rRNA
Rfam family: Bacterial large subunit ribosomal RNA
Source: RNAcentral
GUUAUAUGGUCAAGUGAAUAAGCGCACACGGUGGAUGCCUAGGCGGUAAGAGGCGAUGAAGGACGCGGCAGCCUGCGAAAAGCUCCGGGGAGUUGGCAACAAACGCUGAUCCGGAGAUGUCCGAAUGGGGAAACCCGGCCGAAAGGUCAUCCCUUGACUGAAUACAUAGGUCUUGGGAAGCGAACGCGGCGAACUGAAACAUCUAAGUAGCUGCAGGAAAAGAAAUCAACCGAGAUUCCCCAAGUAGCGGCGAGCGAACGGGGACCAGCCCUGAAGUGGUUGAACGUUUAGUGGAACAGACUGGAAAGUCUGGCGAUACAGAGUGAUAGCCUCGUACACGACAAGCCUCAACCAUGAUGACGAGUAGGGCGGGACACGUGAAAUCCUGUCUGAAUAUGGGGGGACCAUCCUCCAAGGCUAAAUACUACUUACCGACCGAUAGUGAACUAGUACCGUGAGGGAAAGGCGAAAAGAACCCCGGCGAGGGGAGUGAAAUAGAACCUGAAACCGUGUGCGUACAAGCAGUAGGAGCGGAGAGAUUCCGUGACUGCGUACCUUUUGUAUAAUGGGUCAGCGACUUAAUGAUCGUGGCAAGCUUAACCGAAUAGGGGAGGCGUAGGGAAACCGAGUCUGAAUAGGGCGAUAGUCGCGGUCAUUAGACCCGAAACCGGAGCGAUCUAUCCAUGGCCAGGAUGAAGGUUGGGUAAAACCAACUGGAGGUCCGAACCCACAAAUGUUGAAAAAUUUGGGGAUGAGCUGUGGAUCGGAGUGAAAGGCUAAUCAAGCCCGGAGAUAGCUGGUUCUCCUCGAAAGCUAUUUAGGUAGCGCCUCGUAUCUCACUCUCGGGGGUAGAGCACUGUUAUGGCUAGGGGGUCAUCCCGACUUACCAAACCAUUGCAAACUCCGAAUACCGAGAAGUGCAAUUACGGGAGACAGACGGUGGGUGCUAACGUCCAUCGUCAAGAGGGAAACAACCCAGACCGCCAGCUAAGGUCCCUAAAUCUGUGCUAAGUGGGAAACGAUGUGGGAAGGCAUAGACAGCUAGGAGGUUGGCUUAGAAGCAGCCAUCCUUUAAAGAAAGCGUAAUAGCUCACUAGUCAAGUCGGCCUGCGCGGAAGAUUUAACGGGGCUCAAGCACAGUACCGAAGCUGCGGAUGCCGCAAGGCAUGGUAGAGGAGCGUUCUGUAGGCCGUUGAAGAUAGGCUGUGAGGCCUGUUGGAGGUAUCAGAAGUGCGAAUGCUGACAUAAGUAACGAUAAUGCGUGUGAAAACCACGCACGCCGAAAGUCCAAGGUUUCCUGCGCAACGUCAAUCGGCGCAGGGUGAGUCGGCCCCUAAGGCGAGGCUGAGAAGCGUAGUCGAUGGAAAGUGGGUUAAUAUUCCUACACCGUUCAUAAUUGCGAUGGGGGGACGGAGAAGGUUAGGUCAGCCGGUGAUUGGUAGUACCGGUUUAAGUGUGUAGGCAGAUCCCUUAGGCAAAUCCGGGGGGUCAAUGCUGAGGCAUGACGACGAGUCGCUACGGCGAUGAAGUGAUUGAUACCAAGCUUCCAGGAAAAGCCUCUAAGCUUCAGAUUAUGAAUGACCGUACCCAAAACCGACACAGGUGGACAGGUCGAGAAGACCAAGGCGUUGAGAGAACUCGGGUGAAGGAACUAGGCAAAAUAGCACCGUAACUUCGGGAGAAGGUGCGCCCAUGGUAAGUGAAGCGACUUGCUCGUGGAGCUGAAGUGGGUUGCAGUGACCAGGCCGCUGCGACUGUUUAACAAAAACACAGCACUCUGCAAACUCGAAAGAGGACGUAUAGGGUGUGACGCCUGCCCGGUGCCGGAAGGUUAAUUGAUGGGGUCAGCGCAAGCGAAGCUCUUGAUCGAAGCCCCGGUAAACGGCGGCCGUAACUAUAACGGUCCUAAGGUAGCGAAAUUCCUUGUCGGGUAAGUUCCGACCCGCACGAAUGGCGUAACGAUGGCGGCGCUGUCUCCACCCGAGACUCAGUGAAAUUGAAAUCGCUGUGAAGAUGCAGUGUACCCGCGGCUAGACGGAAAGACCCCGUGAACCUUUACUAUAGCUUUGCACUGAACAUUGAACCUACUUGUGUAGGAUAGGUGGGAGGCAUUGAAGCUCGGACGCUAGUUCGAGUGGAGCCAUCCUUGAAAUACCACCCUGGUAUGUUCGGUGUUCUAACCCAGGUCCGUUAUCCGGAUCGGGGACAGUGUAUGGUGGGUAGUUUGACUGGGGCGGUCUCCUCCGAAAGAGUAACAGAGGAGCACGAAGGUUGGCUAAGCACGGUCGGAAAUCGUGCGGUUAGUGUAAGAGCAUAAGCCAGCUUGACUGCGAGACAGACACGUCGAGCAGGGUCGAAAGACGGUUCUAGUGAUCCGGUGGUUCUGUAUGGAAGGGCCAUCGCUCAACGGAUAAAAGGUACUCCGGGGAUAACAGGCUGAUACUGCCCAAGAGUCCAUAUCGACGGCAGUGUUUGGCACCUCGAUGUCGGCUCAUCACAUCCUGGGGCUGAAGCAGGUCCCAAGGGUAUGGCUGUUCGCCAUUUAAAGUGGUACGCGAGCUGGGUUCAGAACGUCGUGAGACAGUUCGGUCCCUAUCUGCCGUGGGCGUUCGAGAUUUGAGGGGAGCUGUCCUUAGUACGAGAGGACCGGGAUGGACACACCUCUGGUGUUCCGGUUGUCACGCCAGUGGCAUUGCCGGGUAGCUAAGUGUGGAUGGGAUAACCGCUGAAAGCAUCUAAGCGGGAAGCCCACCCCAAGAUGAGAUCUCGCUGGGACCUUGAGUCCCCUAAAGGGCCGUUGAAGACCACAACGUUGAUAGGCUAGGUGUGGAAGCGCAGUAAUGCGUGUAGCUAACUAGUACUAAUGACCCGUGAGGCUUGACCAUAUAACGCCAAAACAG